This 484-nucleotide ribosomal RNA is filed under the name uncultured bacterium. RNAcentral describes it as "partial 16S ribosomal RNA". It matches the Rfam family "Bacterial small subunit ribosomal RNA", at positions 29 to 507 of the family's 1533-position model. The record is from RNAcentral.
AUUGAACGCUGGCGGCAUGCUUUACACAUGCAAGUCGAACGGCAGCGCGGGCUUCGGCCUGGCGGCGAGUGGCGAACGGGUGAGUAAUACAUCGGAACGUGCCCAGUAGUGGGGGAUAGCUCGGCGAAAGCCGGAUUAAUACCGCAUACGACCUGAGGGUGAAAGCGGGGGAUCUUCGGACCUCGCGCUAUUGGAGCGGCCGAUGGCAGAUUAGCUAGUUGGUGGGGUAAAGGCCUACCAAGGCGACGAUCUGUAGCUGGUCUGAGAGGACGACCAGCCACACUGGGACUGAGACACGGCCCAGACUCCUACGGGAGGCAGCAGUGGGGAAUUUUGGACAAAGGGCGAAAGCCUGAUCCAGCAAUGCCGCGUGUGUGAAGAAGGCCUUCGGGUUGUAAAGCACUUUUGGCGGGAACGAAAAGGACUGUGCCAAUACCACGGUUCGAUGACGGUACCCGCAGAAUAAGCACCGGCUAACUACGUG